This 465-nucleotide ribosomal RNA is filed under the name uncultured bacterium. RNAcentral's name for it is "partial 16S ribosomal RNA". It matches the Rfam family "Bacterial small subunit ribosomal RNA", at positions 28 to 507 of the family's 1533-position model. The record is from RNAcentral.
GACGAACGCUGGCGGCGUGCUUAACACAUGCAAGUCGUACGGUAAGGCCCUUUCUGGGGUCCACGAGUGGCGCACGGGUGCGUAACACGUGAGUAACCUGCCCACAACUUUGGGAUAACGCUAGGAAACUGGUGCUAAUACUGGAUAUGUGCUCCUGCUGCAUGGUGGGGGUUGGAAAGCUCCGGCGGUUGUGGAUGGACUCGCGGCCUAUCAGCUUGUUGGUGGGGUAGUGGCCUACCAAGGCGGCGACGGGUAGCCGGCCUGAGAGGGUGACCGGCCACAUUGGGACUGAGAUACGGCCCAGACUCCUACGGGAGGCAGCAGGGGGGAAUAUUGCACAAUGGGCGCAAGCCUGAUGCAGCAACGCCGCGUGCGGGAUGACGGCCUUCGGGUUGUAAACCGCUUUCAGCAGGGACGAAGCUUUUUGUGACGGUACCUGCAGAAGAAGCACCGGCUAACUACGUG